Molecule: long non-coding RNA, 595 nt
Organism: Seriola aureovittata
Lineage: Eukaryota; Metazoa; Chordata; Actinopteri; Carangiformes; Carangidae
Exons: 3
Source: RefSeq, a predicted model, not a curated record
CUUCCACUUCACCAUAAAGGGUCACGAGGAGCUGGCCAAGGGACUGUGGAACAACAUGUUUCAGCCCGAGGGAGGAAAGAUGAUUGUGAGCAGCUUCUCUGACCCCAUCAGUCUCAUCUGUCCACCGAUGGAACACCCAUAUAUCUUCACCCGACCAAUUGCAUCCAGGUCAGGCCAGCCUCCGCUUCAGUCUCCAUCACAGGCGGCCAUCUUGCUGCUGUCGCUACUCGUGGGUUUGGGACGUCUUGGACUUCUGUAGCUUUCACUUUACCGAGCUAUUUUUUUUAAAACCAUGUCUCUGCUUCACUGGUUACUGUUGAGGCGAUCACCUGCAAAGGAGAGUCUGUGAGCCACUCUUUGAAACUUUGCGCGUCUGUGGCCCCAAAUACCAGCAUGGAGAAAUUACUGCAGUUUUAAGAUCUGAAGACCCCAUAGAUAAUGUGACAGUGAAUCCUGCAACUGAAAUAUUGAAUCUUUAGAGGCAGAUGGAGGUGGAGGUGGUGAAGAGUUUUAGUCCCUUGUUGGUGAGCAGAUUGCUGCUCUUAGCAGAGAGUUUUCUAUUUUGCUUUUAAAUUUUUAAUCCAUCAUGAUGAUU